GAUGAACGCUAGCUACAGGCUUAACGCAUGCAAGUCGAGGGGUAACGAGAGGAAAGCUUGCUUUCCUUGUCGACGACCGGCGCACGGGUGAGUAACGCGUAUCCAACCUGCCCCCAACUAGGGAAUAACCUUGCGAAAGUAAGACUAAUACCCUAUAAUUUCCUCAGAUGUCAUCUGACGAGGAAUAAAGAUUUAUCGGUUGUGGAUGGGGAUGCGUCUGAUUAGCUCGUUGGCGGGGUAACGGCCCACCAAGGCAACGAUCAGUAGGGGUUCUGAGAGGAAGGUCCCCCACAUUGGAACUGAGACACGGUCCAAACUCCUACGGGAGGCAGCAGUGAGGAAUAUUGGUCAAUGGGCGGAAGCCUGAACCAGCCAAGUAGCGUGCAGGAUGACGGCCCUAUGGGUUGUAAACUGCUUUUAUACAGGAAUAAAGUUAGCCACGUGUGGUUAUUUGUAGGUACUGUAUGAAUAAGGACCGGCUAAUUCCGUGCCAGCAGCCGCAGUAA
RNAcentral lists this ribosomal RNA (506 nucleotides) under uncultured bacterium. Its description in RNAcentral is "partial 16S ribosomal RNA". It matches the Rfam family "Bacterial small subunit ribosomal RNA", at positions 28 to 523 of the family's 1533-position model. The record is from RNAcentral.